AUAAAGUAUACCAGAUUUGGCGUUAUUACCUUCAGAGUGAAGAAACAACACCCCCCAAAUUGAGGUUGAUUUUGAAACAUGAUAGCGAAAUCGAACUGGCCAUCGAAAAUACACAGUUCAGCUUCUCUACCCCUAGAUUUUUUAAUGACGGGCCUUUAAAGUUUAAAUAGGUACUUCAGUCGAUAUUAUUGGAGUUUGUUUGUACGUGUCAAGUUUGAAACCGCGAAAAGUCUUACGUCGUUACAUGUCCCUGACAGACCCAACUGCAGAUUUAAUUGCUGAUUCGGAUGAAAGAAGCUGGAGAGUCAUGUUAUCGGAUGAUGCAGCUGAAAAAAAUCGAGUUUCCUUUUUCCUUCACACCUGUGGUUGCCAUUAAAGGAGCAAAAAUUAUCAAGAAAUCAGCAACGAUCCAACUCCUCCGACUAGCUUCCCUCAGUUUCGCUUCCGGUAUUCUUUUAUUUUUUCGACUGGAAUGAAUAGUCUCAAUUUCAAUUUGCAAGGAAGUGGAAUUCAUAAGUACCUGGUCAGAAAAAUAAUGUGUAGGUAAGUAAAUCAGCGAUUCUGAUAAAAAAUAGUUGGUGUAAUAAUUGUAACCACAAAAUAAAAAGUAAAAAACUACAAAUUAUAAACACAACACACUCAA
Planococcus citri (citrus mealybug) is the source of this 643-nucleotide long non-coding RNA. RefSeq lists it as uncharacterized. The transcript is spliced from 3 exons. The record is from RefSeq and is a predicted model, not a curated record. Lineage: Eukaryota; Metazoa; Arthropoda; Insecta; Hemiptera; Pseudococcidae.